Molecule: ribosomal RNA, 500 nt
Filed under: uncultured bacterium
Lineage: Bacteria
Description: partial 16S ribosomal RNA
Rfam family: Bacterial small subunit ribosomal RNA
Source: RNAcentral
AUUGAACGCUGGCGACAUGCCUUACACAUGCAAGUCGAGCGGCAGCACGGGAGCAAUCCUGGUGGCGAGUGGCGAACGGGUGAGUAAUAUAUCGGAACGUGCCCAGUCGUGGGGGAUAACGUAGCGAAAGCUACGCUAAUACCGCAUACGAUCUAUGGAUGAAAGCGGGGGAUCGCAAGACCUCGCGCGAUUGGAGCGGCCGAUAUCAGAUUAGGUAGUUGGUGAGGUAAAGGCUCACCAAGCCGACGAUCUGUAGCUGGUCUGAGAGGCCGACCAGGCACACUGGGACUGAGACACGGCCGAGACUCCUACGGGAGGCAGCAGUGGGGAAGUUUGGACAAGGGGCGCAAGCCUGAUCCAGCAAUGCCGCGUGCAGGGUGAAGGCCUUCGGGUUGUAGACUGCUUUUGUACGGAACGAAACGGCGAGCUCUAAUACAGUUUGCUAAUGACGGUACCGUAAGAAUAAGCACCGGCUAACUACGUGCCAGCCGCCGCAGUAA